AGAGUUUGAUCCUGGCUCAGGAUGAACGCUGGCGGCGUGCCUAAUACAUGCAAGUCGAACGGAGAUAGCAAUAUCUCAGUGGCGUCCGGGUGAGUAACACGUAGCUGAUCUGCCCUAUGUCGGGGGAUAACGGCGCGAAAGCGCUGCUAAUACCGCGUAAGCUCGCCGGGGUUAGAGGCCUGGUGAGGAAAGACUUGUCAACAUAGGAGGAGGCUGCGAGCCAUCAGCUAGCUGGUAAGGUAACGGCUUACCAGGGCGACGACGGCUAGGGGACCUGAGAGGGUGACCCCCCACACUGGAACUGACACACGGUCCAGACUCCUACGGGAGGCAGCAGUAAGGAAUAUUGCGCAAUGGGCGAAAGCCUGACGCAGCAACGCCGCGUGCGGGAAGAAGGUCUUCGGAUCGUAAACCGCUUUUCUCAGGGAAGAGGAUGGACGGUACCUGAGGAAUAAGUCUCGGCUAACUACGUGCCAGCAGCCGCGGUAAAACGUAGGAGGCGAGCGUUACCCGGAUUUACUGGGCGUAAAGCGCGUGCAGGCGGUACGUUAAGUCGUGCGUGAAAGCUCCCAGGCUUAACCGGGAGAGGUCGUGCGAAACUGGCGGACUUGAGGUUGAGAGAGGCAAGUGGAAUUCCGGGUGUAGUGGUGAAAUGCGUAGAGAUCCGGAGGAACACCAGUGGCGAAGGCGGCUUGCUGGCUCAGACCUGACGCUCAGACGCGAAAGCAUGGGGAGCGAACGGGAUUAGAAACCCCGGUAGUCCAUGCCGUAAACGAUGUGAACUAGACGUAUGGGGGCAACCCUGUGUGUCGCAGCCAACGCGAUAAGUUCACCGCCUGGGGAGUACGAGCGCAAGCUUAAAACUCAAAGGAAUUGACGGGGGCCCGCACAAGCAGCGGAGCGUGUGGUUUAAUUCGAGGCUACACGAAGGACCUUACCUGGGCUUGACAUACAAGUGGUAGGGGCUGGAAACAGUCCUGACCUUCGGGAGCUUGUACAGGUGCUGCAUGGCUGUCGUCAGCUCGUGUCGUGAGAUGUUCGGUUAAGUCCGGUAACGAGCGCAACCCUCGGGAUUAGUUACACGUGUCUAAUCCGACUGCCCGGUCAAACUGGGAGGAAGGUGGGGAUGACGUCAAGUCAGCAUGGCCUUUAUGUUCAGGGCUACACACACGCUACAAUGGCCGGUACAAUGGGUCGCCAACCCGCGAGGGGGAGCCAAUCCGCCAAAACCGGUCGUAGUUCGGAUUGCAGGCUGCAACUCGCCUGCAUGAAGCUGGAGUUGCUAGUAAACGUCGGUCAGCCAUACGACGUUGAAUACGUUCCCGGGCCUUGUACACACCGCCCGUCACGUCAUGGGAGCUGGUCACGCCUGAAGUCGGUGGGCUAACCUUACGGAAGCAGCCGCCAAAGGCAGGGCUGGUGACUGGGACGAAGUCGUAACAAGGUAACC
This 1450-nucleotide ribosomal RNA is filed under the name uncultured Anaerolineaceae bacterium. Its description in RNAcentral is "bacterial SSU rRNA". It matches the Rfam family "Bacterial small subunit ribosomal RNA". The record is from RNAcentral. Lineage: Bacteria; Bacillati; Chloroflexota; Anaerolineae; Anaerolineales; Anaerolineaceae.